UACGGAGGGUGCGAGCGUUGUCCGGAAUCAUUGGGCGUAAAGGGCGCGUAGGUGGCGGGACAAGCGUGCGGUGAAAGCCUGGGGCUCAACCCCGGGUCGGCCGUGCGAACUGUUUUGCUUGAGCACUGUAGAGGCAGGCGGAAUUCCUGGUGUAGCGGUGAAAUGCGCAGAUAUCAGGAGGAACACCGGUGGCGAAGGCGGGUCUCUGGGCCGUAACUGACGCUGAGGAGCGAAAGCGUGGGGAGCGAACAGG
RNAcentral lists this ribosomal RNA (253 nucleotides) under uncultured bacterium. RNAcentral's name for it is "partial 16S ribosomal RNA". It matches the Rfam family "Bacterial small subunit ribosomal RNA", at positions 524 to 776 of the family's 1533-position model. The record is from RNAcentral.